AAAGAAGAGAGGCAGGCAGAAAAAAGAUUUCAGAAGAUAAUGACAGGAGAACUUCAAAAUUUGAUUAAAAAUUUCAGCCCACACACCCAAGAAUCUCUGAGAUCCAAGCAGAACAAACACAAAGUAAGUCACACUUCGAUACAUCGUAGUCAAAUUGCUGAAAGCUAAAGAGAAAAUAUUAACAGCAGCUGAGGGCAGGGGGAGUGCUUCACAUGCAGGGCAACAAUGGUAAAAAUAACCUCUGAGAUUUCAUCAGAAGAAGUGCAAGCCGGAAGACAAUAGAAUGACAUCUUUAAAGUGUUAAGAGAAAGAAACUGUCAACAUAGAUUUCUAUAUGCAGCCAAAACAUCCUUCAAAAAUGAAGAUGAAAUCAUAUCAUUUUCAGGCUAUGAAAGCUGAGAAAAUUUGUCACCAGCACACUUUCACUACAAGAGCUGUUAAAGGAAGUUCUUCAGGCUGAGAGGAAAUGAUACCAGAUGGAAACCUGGAUCUAAACCAAGGAGUGAAGAGUACUGAUAGCACCAUGGAAGCCCUCUGUGCAUCUGGCGAAGAGGCAGGGAAAAGAAUUACGUGGCAGGCCUGGGCACCAAGGCAGGGAGCGAGGAGUGAAGUCCACAGAAGCCACCCUGGAGCGCCGCCCUGGAUUCCUCUCAACACAGGCGUCUAAACACGUGCAGGUGUCUGCAUUUCCUUCCAGGCUGAACUAGGGCUGGCUGUGUUGCAGUUGGGAGACUGGUCCCAGGACAUGAUAGCACUCUCUAUAGGGCUGGUGGCUUUUCCUACUGAAUCGGGCUGAGCCUCCCAACCGGAAGCCCCGGAACUAGGCUGGUCUCCUAGAAGUGCACGCUGGCUUUCUGCUAGGUGCACCUGAAUGUCAGACACAGGCUUUGAUAAACGCAUCCAGCCACAUGGGGGCCCAGUGCCCAGGGACUUCUAAAGGACUCGAAUUGGAGAGUAGUUUGUGCAGCUGCACUCUGGUGACACCAACUUUGUUGCGACUCUCCAAAGAGGUAGUGAUCAAAGAGGUCACAGGAGUGGCCAGAUGUAGCUGCAUGGCCCUGGCCUGUGGUGUGCCCCUGGCAUUUGGUGAACAAAGAAGUGAGGAGAUGGGGUGAGUGUCUCCAACAAUGAGGCCACCUGCACCAUGGGGGGCACCGGAUGCCAAGAAGCCACAGGGCAAAGCUACUGAACAUCAAACCAGGUCACCUCCCGCUGGAGCUCAGAAACAGGGAGCUGUGAGAAAAGGCUAAUGAGGCUGUAAAGGCAGCAUUUCGGGCACCUGAGGCAGGAGAGAUGCCCACAGAUGAGGCACGGACCUGUGCCAGCCCCCACCCCAGCGUUCAAAACAGGGCAUCCUUCCCCAGGGAGACCUUCCCCCUCCUGCCAAGGCCCCAGACUGUCCUGUGCAAACUCAGCCAGGGGUGGCCCCGUUACACCUUCCUGCCAGUCUGCCUUUACCAAUGUGCCUUGCGGUGGGUGCCGUGCUGGGUGAGGGGCCAGGCCAUCGUGCCUCCUUCAGGAACAUGCCACCCAGGAACCAGGCAGGUUCCUCAUCCUCAGCACUACUGACAUCUGGGGCCAGAAGAUUCUUUGUUGCGGGGCUAUUCUGGGCACUGUAGGAUGUUGAGAAGCAUCCCUGGCCUCUACCCACUAGGUGCCUGCAGCACAACCGCAAGGUAUGACAACCAAAAAACCUUUACAGACAUUGCCAAAUAUCCCCGGGGUUGCGGUGGGGGCAAAACUGCCCCCGAUUGUGAACCGCUGGGAUAUGUUCAUUGUGAAAAUCCUGAACUCUCAAAUCUUUGCUGGACUUUUAAAUUGGAAGGGUCAUUAGAGAUGCACAGUCCCCUCUUUUUAGAAGGCAGAGAUGAGUUAGAAUGGACUUUUUUCCAGGUUGUGAUCAGCAUCAUCAAUGGCAUGUACUAAUUGCUACGACAAAUACUCUAUAGGCACCAUCUCUUUUCUUUGGCCCAACAAUCCCAUGAGGGUUGCGUUAUUCAUGUCCCAUUUUACAGAUGAGCCAAUUAGGCUGAGACUUGGCAGAGCUGGGGCAACUCUCCCAAACCACCUGCCAUGGGUACCAUUCCUCCACUGAGAGAAGCCCAAAGGAAGCUACUCAGGCGAGGCUCUCUUUAUUCUCAGACCUUCCAUAAUCCCGUGCAUCUGAAAAGCACAAAUACUACAGGCAAAGCAGCCUGCUUACAAAUGAUGCUUAAUUUACAGUAAAUAACUAAGUUAAUUAGAAGUAAUGAUCCCCCAGACAGUCUCAACAUCUAAUUAUUCUUUUUAAAAAUGUGUGGUUGCUGGAUGCACUGCAGAGAGAUUAGAAAAACAACACAGAGAGAAUUCUGCAUUCCAAUUUUCAAUUUAUCUCUCUGCAUUAUUAAUUAAUAAUAAUUAAUAUUCAGACACUCACAUUUUUAUUUACAAUUCCAGGCAUGAAUUCUUUAUGAACGAUCAUAUGAACUUUUAAAUUUAAUUAAGUAAUUUGGAAGUAAUUAAUGUGUAAAUUCAGAAUCAUGGCAUAAGAUAAAUGUUGUGGUUGUUUAUCUUAAGAGUGCAGUGUUUGUUACUAAUGACCCUUCCGAGAUGCAAAAUCACUGGAAAAUUAUAAGCCAUCAUAAGCCUGGCAUUUCUUCUUUAAGUAGCGACAUUUUCUACUAACCCACCCGCUGGCUGAUUGCUCCCUUCAGAGGGCGAGGCUGUUCAAUCCACGCCGGCAAACACCGCAUCUCCGAGCUCAGUGUAGCAAUGAGGUUUAAGCACCGAGUCUACCAGCAGGAGAAGGUGCUGGGAAAGUCAGCAGGGAAGGGCUUGAGGGAGCUCAAAACCACUUCCCCGGCAAAACAGGACUUUUCUUGGAGAGUUUUGAGAGAAUAUAUGAAAAAAAGGACUUUGUAAACUGUCAAGUGUCUUAAAUAUCUGUGAUGUUCCCAUCGUAAACGCUUCAUUUACCCAACACUGUGUGGAAGGGUAAUUUUGAGACGACUGGAUUUUGAGAUACUGCAUUUUGAGAUGACUGAAGCUCAGCAAGACUUUUGAAAAGGAUAAUACAGCUGUUUGGGGAUAGAAUUAUUCUACCUUGCCCUUGCCUUUUUGGGCAGGGUGUUGAACAAUGAUAGGAGCUAUGACGACUGAUGUUUAUUGAGGCUUUUCUCUGUGCCAGAACUGGGCUUGUGGCUGUGGACACGUGAUUUGGAGAAUCCCAUUUAAUCCUCACCUACGCCUGGGAGGAGGGCACAAGUUUUGUUCCUAUUUUAGCGAUGCCAAAACUAGGGCUCCGAGGAGUUAGGAGAAGUGCCAGAGGCUGCACAGCUGGGCUGCGUCGGGGCUGAGAUUUGAACAGGUUGCUCAGCUCAGCCAUCCCCGCACCUCGCACAGGCUGCCCGCAGUGGCUCCCGAGCUGCUGUGAACAUUGGCCAUUGCUGUGGACAGCAACGCAGUGCCAGGCGCGGGGCCAUGUAUCUCCAUCCUAAAUGAAG
Molecule: long non-coding RNA, 3482 nt
Filed under: Homo sapiens (human)
Lineage: Eukaryota; Metazoa; Chordata; Mammalia; Primates; Hominidae
Description: HSALNT0156344
Source: RNAcentral